This 993-nucleotide ribosomal RNA is filed under the name Triticum aestivum (bread wheat). RNAcentral's name for it is "partial small subunit ribosomal RNA". Lineage: Eukaryota; Viridiplantae; Streptophyta; Magnoliopsida; Poales; Poaceae. The record is from RNAcentral.
AUGGAUCCAACUGCUACUGGCCUGGGGUUCUAUCAUGUUGAUGUUCCUCUGCCAAGCGAAUCUAGUUGGCUGAAUUACAAAAAUUGUGCUGUUCUGAGAGUAAUGAAAGGUGAAGUUUCUACUUCUGAGUUGCUUGUUCAGUUAAAUGGAAUUUUCUGCAAAAACAAGGAGUGGCCCUGGCAGAUCAGAGAAUUGGAGGAGAAGAAAUUCUUGCUUAGAUUUCCUCCAUGGAAGAAUGUGGAAGACCUGAUUGAGUUCCCAGCAUUUAAUCUUUCUAAUGAUGGUGUUUCAGUUAAGAUCUGCGAGUGGGAAGGGAUGCUUGAUGAAUUUGGAGAACUGAAAGAAGCUUGGGUGGUUGCUAAUGGAAUUCCACCAAAAUGGUGUGCUUGGAAGGUUUUUGCGCAAGUUGCUGGAUGUUUUGGCAUCCUUGUGGAUGUGGAUUGGAAUGGCAUUUUCAAGAGCUUCUAUGAAACAAUCAGAAUCAAGAUAGCUUGUAGAGAUCCUUGCAAAAUUCCUUUUGAGAGACUGGUGGAGAUGAAGAAGAAACUCUACCUGUUAUUUUUCACUGUAGAGGGUUUUGAGCAAGUUGGUGAAGAAUCAGAUGGGAAUGAUGAGGAUCCUGGUCAAGAUAAUGAAGAUGGAGGAAAAGAAAAGCUGGAUGAGGAUCUGACUGAUAAGGAUUCAAUGGAAGAUAACAAAGAGGAGCCUUUUGAUGGAUUGGACAGAGCAAACUUCACAUCCACACAGAAAACUAACUCAGGUCCUAGCAAACAAGUGCAGCAGGUCUCUGUUUCUACAGAGGAGUUUCAUCCAGUAAACAUGAAUGAUGAGGUCCAUGACAACUUCUUGGAGGAAAUCAAUAAAAGUGGACAUAGAGACAAUGAGAAACCUGGGUCUGAACCAGAGUUCGGCACCCCGUGCUCAUAUCACCUGCUUCCUGAAGAUACUGAGAAAAUUCCUAUGUCUGUAUGUACAUUUGGAAUACUGCUCUGA